GUAGGUGAACCUGCGGAAGGAUCAUUACAAAAGAAAGUAAAAAGUAGAUUCGGCUUCCUUCCCAUGAAGAGGUUGCUCGAGAGAGGCUAUUACGCAAGAUUUUUUCGGAUGUCGUUCUUAACGGGUUGGCCCCCCCGAGGGGUUGUUACCGACAUUCUUCUGGAAUCGCGAAAUAGGCCGGGAGUGUGGCAUUAGUAUCCUGCCCUUACACGCACUCUUCUCUGGUCUCUCGCCCAUUCUUCUUUGCUGGUCCAUACCGGGGGGGGGGAGCCGGAUUGAAUUUACACUUUUUGAUAAACCCCACCGUGCAUUUAUUGAAAGAACCUUUACCCGAUCAAAUUGAUUGGGAAAAAAAAGGAAAAAGGGGAAAGACGCAGUUUUUCCCCUUUUGACUUUUUUUUAACCAUUUUGCCUGUAUAUAUUUUGACUGAACUUUUAUAAAAAUUUAAUACAACUUUCAACAACGGAUCUCUUGGCUCUC
RNAcentral lists this unclassified non-coding RNA (481 nucleotides) under rhizosphere metagenome. RNAcentral's name for it is "partial ribosomal RNA internal transcribed spacer region". The record is from RNAcentral.